GAUGAACGCUAGCGGCAGGCCUAACACAUGCAAGUCGAGGGGUAGGGUUAGCUUGCUAACUUGAGACCGGCGCACGGGUGCGUAACGCGUAUGCAAUCUACCUUGUACAGAGGGAUAGCCCAGAGAAAUUUGGAUUAAUACCUCAUAGUAUCUUUACCUGGCAUCGGGUAAUUAUUAAAGUUCCAACGGUACAAGAUGAGCAUGCGUCCCAUUAGUUAGUUGGUAAGGUAACGGCUUACCAAGACAAUGAUGGGUGGGGGUCCUGAGAGGGAGAUCCCCCACACUGGUACUGAGACACGGACCAGACUCCUACGGGAGGCAGCAGUGAGGAAUAUUGGUCAAUGGACGCAAGUCUGAACCAGCCAUGCCGCGUGCAGGAAGACGGUCCUAUGGAUUGUAAACUGCUUUUAUACAGGAAGAAACAACUCUACGUGUAGAGUCUUGACGGUACUGUAGGAAUAAGGAUCGGCUAACUCCGUGCCAGCAGCCGCGGU
RNAcentral lists this ribosomal RNA (494 nucleotides) under uncultured bacterium. RNAcentral describes it as "bacterial SSU rRNA". It matches the Rfam family "Bacterial small subunit ribosomal RNA", at positions 28 to 521 of the family's 1533-position model. The record is from RNAcentral.